RNAcentral lists this ribosomal RNA (497 nucleotides) under uncultured bacterium. RNAcentral's name for it is "partial 16S ribosomal RNA". It matches the Rfam family "Bacterial small subunit ribosomal RNA", at positions 28 to 507 of the family's 1533-position model. The record is from RNAcentral.
GAUGAACGCUGGCGGCGUGCCUAAUACAUGCAAGUCGAGCGAACAGACGAGGAGCUUGCUCCUCUGACGUUAGCGGCGGACGGGUGAGUAACACGUGGAUAACCUACCUAUAAGACUGGGAUAACUUCGGGAAACCGGAGCUAAUACCGGAUAAUAUAUUGAACCGCAUGGUUCAAUAGUGAAAGACGGUUUUGCUGUCACUUAUAGAUGGAUCCGCGCCGCAUUAGCUAGUUGGUAAGGUAACGGCUUACCAAGGCGACGAUGCGUAGCCGACCUGAGAGGGUGGUUCGCCACACUGGAACUGAGGCACGGUCCAGACUCCUACGGGAGGCAGCAGUAGGGAAUCUUCCGCCAUGGGCGAAAGCCUGACGGAGGAACGGCGCGUGAGUGAUGAAGGUCUUCGGAUCGUAAAACUCUGUUAUUAGGGAAGAACAAAUGUGUAAGUAACUAUGCACGUCUUGACGGUACCUAAUCAGAAAGCCACGGCUAACUACGUG